Molecule: transfer RNA, 69 nt
Filed under: Rattus norvegicus (Norway rat)
Lineage: Eukaryota; Metazoa; Chordata; Mammalia; Rodentia; Muridae
Rfam family: tRNA
About the family: Transfer RNA (tRNA) molecules are approximately 80 nucleotides in length.
Source: Rfam by way of RNAcentral
GGGGAUUUAGCUCAGCGGUAGAGCGCUUGCCUAGCAAGCGCAAGGCUCUGGGUUCGGUCCCCAGCUCCG